CCUACGGGAGGCAGCAGUGAGGAAUUUUGGACAAUGGGGGCAACCCUGAUCCAGCCAUGCCGCGUGCAGGAUGAAGGCCUUCGGGUUGUAAACUGCUUUUGUCGGGGACGAAAAGGACCGUGUUAAUACCAUGGUCUGCUGACGGUACCUGAAGAAUAAGCACCGGCUAACUACGUGCCAGCAGCCGCGGUAAUACGUAGGGUGCAAGCGUUAAUCGGAAUUACUGGGCGUAAAGCGUGCGCAGGCGGUUCUGUAAGACAGAUGUGAAAUCCCCGGGCUCAACCUGGGAAUUGCAUUUGUGACUGCAGGACUAGAGUUCAUCAGAGGGGGGUGGAAUUCCAAGUGUAGCAGUGAAAUGCGUAGAUAUUUGGAAG
This 374-nucleotide ribosomal RNA is filed under the name uncultured bacterium. RNAcentral's name for it is "bacterial SSU rRNA". It matches the Rfam family "Bacterial small subunit ribosomal RNA", at positions 338 to 704 of the family's 1533-position model. The record is from RNAcentral.